Molecule: ribosomal RNA, 112 nt
Filed under: uncultured bacterium
Lineage: Bacteria
Description: partial 16S ribosomal RNA
Rfam family: Bacterial small subunit ribosomal RNA
Source: RNAcentral
UGUUGCGGUGAAUACGUUCCCGGGUCUUGUACACACCGCCCGUCAAACCAUGAAAGUGACCAACACCCGGAGUCCGAUUCGUCGGCCUAAGGUGGGGGGCAUGAUCGGGGUU